CGCUGGCGGCGUGCCUAACACAUGCAAGUCGAACGGAGAAUUGCGCUGAACAUGAGAUUAGCUUGCUAAAGGAGUGUUCUUGUAAUUCUUAGUGGCGGACGGGUGAGUAACGCGUGAGCAACCUGCCUUACAGAGGGGGACAACAUUGGGAAACCGAUGCUAAUACCGCAUAACGUAUUUUUAAGGCAUCUUAGAAAUACCAAAGGAGCAAUCCGCUGUAAGAUGGGCUCGCGUCCAAUUAGAUAGUUGGUGAGGUAAUGGCUCACCAAGUCGACGAUUGGUAGCCGGACUGAGAGGUUGAACGGCCACAUUGGGACUGAGACACGGCCCAGACUCCUACGGGAGGCAGCAGUGGGGAAUAUUGCACAAUGGGGGAAACCCUGAUGCAGCAACGCCGCGUGAGGGAAGACGGUUUUCGGAUUGUAAACCUCUGUCCUCUGUGAAGAAGAAAGUGACGGUAGCAGAGGAGGAAGCCACGGCUAACUACGUG
Molecule: ribosomal RNA, 490 nt
Filed under: uncultured bacterium
Lineage: Bacteria
Description: bacterial SSU rRNA
Rfam family: Bacterial small subunit ribosomal RNA
Source: RNAcentral